GACGAACGCUGGCGGCGUGCUUUAGACAUGCAAGUCGAACGAGAUCUUCGGAUCUAGUGGCGAACGGCGGAGUAAUACAUAAACAACGUGCCCUGAAGACUGGGAUAUACGGUCGAAAGGCCGAGCAAUACCGGAUGUGGCCGAGACUAGGCAUCUAGACUCGAUUAAAUGGUUUUCGCUUCAGGAGCGGUUUAUGACUCAUCAGCUAGUUGGUAGGUAAUGGCCUACCAAGGCUACGACGGGUAGGGGUCUGAGAGGAUGAUCCCCCCGAGUGGGACUGAGACACGGCCCACACACCUACGGGUGGCAGCAGUUUGGAAUCUUGCCCAAUGGGGGAAACCCUGAGGCAGCGACGCCGCGUGGAGGAUGAAGGAUUUAGGUCUGUAAACUCCUUUUGCCAGGAAAGACUUAGGACGGUACCUGGCGAAUAAGCUCCGGCUAACUACGUGCCAGCAGCCGCGGUAAU
RNAcentral lists this ribosomal RNA (466 nucleotides) under uncultured bacterium. RNAcentral describes it as "bacterial SSU rRNA". It matches the Rfam family "Bacterial small subunit ribosomal RNA", at positions 28 to 524 of the family's 1533-position model. The record is from RNAcentral.